This 781-nucleotide ribosomal RNA is filed under the name uncultured bacterium. Its description in RNAcentral is "bacterial SSU rRNA". It matches the Rfam family "Bacterial small subunit ribosomal RNA", at positions 28 to 806 of the family's 1533-position model. The record is from RNAcentral.
GAUGAACGCUGGCGGCGUGCUUAACACAUGCAAGUCGAACGAAGCACUCUAUUUGAUUUUCUUCGGAAAUGAAGAUUUUGUGACUGAGUGGCGGACGGGUGAGUAACGCGUGGGUAACCUGCCUCAUACAGGGGGAUAACAGUUGGAAACGACUGCUAAUACCGCAUAAGCGCACAGGAUCGCAUGAUCCGGUGUGAAAAACUCCGGUGGUAUGAGAUGGACCCGCGUCUGAUUAGCCAGUUGGCAGGGUAACGGCCUACCAAAGCGACGAUCAGUAGCCGACCUGAGAGGGUGACCGGCCACAUUGGGACUGAGACACGGCCCAAACUCCUACGGGAGGCAGCAGUGGGGAAUAUUGCACAAUGGGGGAAACCCUGAUGCAGCGACGCCGCGUGAGCGAAGAAGUAUUUCGGUAUGUAAAGCUCUAUCAGCAGGGAAGAAGAAUGACGGUACCUGACUAAGAAGCACCGGCUAAAUACGUGCCAGCAGCCGCGGUAAUACGUAUGGUGCAAGCGUUAUCCGGAUUUACUGGGUGUAAAGGGAGCGCAGGCGGUGCGGCAAGUCUGAUGUGAAAGCCCGGGGCUCAACCCCGGUACUGCAUUGGAAACUGUCGUACUAGAGUGUCGGAGGGGUAAGUGGAAUUCCUAGUGUAGCGGUGAAAUGCGUAGAUAUUAGGAGGAACACCAGUGGCGAAGGCGGCUUACUGGACGAUAACUGACGCUGAGGCUCGAAAGCGUGGGGAGCAAACAGGAUUAGAUACCCUGGUAGUCCACGCCGUAAA